CUGACACAGGGAGGUAGUGACAAUAAAUAACAAUACUGGACUUUUUCAAGUCUAGUAAUUGGAAUGAGAACAAUCUAAAUACCUUAUCGAGUAUCAAUUGGAGGGCAAGUCUGGUGCCAGCAGCCGCGGUAAUUCCAGCUCCAAUAGCGUAUAUUAAAGUUGUUGCAGUUAAAAAGCUCGUAGUUGGAUCUCAGGGUGAGCUCAGUUGGUCGGCCUAAUUGGUCAGAACUGGCUGACUCUCCCUUGUUUCUGAAUCCCGGUCGGAGUUAAUUCUUCGUUCGUGGACUUCAGAUCGUUUACCUUGAAAAAAUUAGAGUGUUCAAAGCGGGCGUUUGCUUGAAUACAUUAGCAUGGAAUAAUGGAAUAGGACUUUGGUCUUAUUUGUUGGUUUAUGGGACCGAAGUAAUGAUUAACAGGGACAGUUGGAGCCGUUUAUAUUUCGUUGUCAGAGGUGAAAUUCUUGGAUUUACGAAAGAUAAACUUCUGCGAAAGCAUUCGGCAAGGAUGUUUUCAUUGAUCAAGAACGAAAGUUGGGGGCUCGAAGACGAUUAGAUACCGUCGUAGUCUCAACCAUAAACGAUGCCGACUAGGGAUUGGCGGGUGUUAAAUCGAUGACUUCGCCAGCACCUUAUGAGAAAUCAAAGUUUUUGGGUUCCGGGGGGAGUAUGGUCGCAAGGCUGAAACUUAAAGGAAUUGACGGAAGGGCACCACCAGGCGUGGAGCCUG
This 726-nucleotide ribosomal RNA is filed under the name uncultured marine eukaryote. RNAcentral's name for it is "bacterial SSU rRNA". It matches the Rfam family "Eukaryotic small subunit ribosomal RNA", at positions 451 to 1185 of the family's 1831-position model. The record is from RNAcentral.